RNAcentral lists this ribosomal RNA (493 nucleotides) under Streptocephalus dorothae. Its description in RNAcentral is "partial 16S ribosomal RNA". It matches the Rfam family "Bacterial large subunit ribosomal RNA", at positions 1831 to 2597 of the family's 2925-position model. The record is from RNAcentral. Lineage: Eukaryota; Metazoa; Arthropoda; Branchiopoda; Anostraca; Streptocephalidae.
GGCUUUCUAUAUUUUUAAAGUCUGACCUGCCCACUGAUUUUUUGAAGGGCCGUGGUAUACUGACCAUGCGAAGGUAGCAUAAUCAUUUGCCUCUUAAUUAGGGGCUGGAAUGAAUGGUUGGACGAGAAACUAGCUGUCUCUCUUAUUAACUUGAAUUUAAUCUUUUGGUGAAAAAGCUAAAAUACUCUCGUAGGACGAUAAGACCCUAUAGAUCUUUAUAAGUUGUCAUUUGAUUUCUUAGCUGUUAUUAAAUCUUGUUCAAGCUUAUUUUGUUGGGGCGACAUUGAGUGAAGAAUAAUCUCUCAUCAUAAUUUGACAGUUAUACCUGAUCAAUGAUCCUUUGAUGAAUUAGGAUAAAGUUACCUUAGGGAUAACAGCGUAAUUUCUUUUGAGAGUUCUAAUCGACAAGGAAGUUUGCGACCUCGAUGUUGGUUCAGGAUUCCUUUUAGGCGCAGUAGUUUAAAAAGGUAGUCUGUUCGACUAUUAAAUUCCU